AUUGAAUUUCAACUAUUGUGACUAGACAUCUAGGGGUAAAGCACUGUUUCGGUGGGGUCGUGAGAGCGGUACCAAAUCGAGGCAAACUCUAGAUACUAGAUAUGACCUCAAAAUAACAAGGGUCAAGGUUGACCAGUAAGACAAUGUGGGAUAAGGUUCAUCGUCGAGAGGGAAACAACCCGGAUCACCAGCUAGGGCCCCUAAAUGACCGCUCAGUGAUAAAGGAGGUAGGGGUGUAAAGACAACCAGAAAGUUUGCCUACAAGCAGCCACCCUUGAAAGAGUGCGUAAUAUAAAUUAAUUCAAAUUGAACCAUAAUUCACAUAUAUGAUUGUAUACCUAGGGCGAAAAGCUAAAAUAGGAAUAUGCUA
Molecule: non-coding RNA, 370 nt
Organism: Vigna angularis (adzuki bean)
Lineage: Eukaryota; Viridiplantae; Streptophyta; Magnoliopsida; Fabales; Fabaceae
Source: Rfam